RNAcentral lists this ribosomal RNA (253 nucleotides) under uncultured bacterium. RNAcentral's name for it is "partial 16S ribosomal RNA". It matches the Rfam family "Bacterial small subunit ribosomal RNA", at positions 524 to 776 of the family's 1533-position model. The record is from RNAcentral.
UACGUAGGCAGCGAGCGUUGUUCGGAUUUACUGGGCGUAAAGAGUGUGUAGGCGGUGCUCUAAGUUCGGUGUGAAAUCUCCCGGCUUAACUGGGAGGGUGCGCCGGAAACUGGAGUGCUCGAGCGUGGGAGAGGAAAGCGGAAUUCCUGGUGUAGCGGUGAAAUGCGUAGAUAUCAGGAGGAACACCUGCGGUGUAGACGGCUUUCUGGACCAUUGCUGACGCUGAGACACGAAAGCGUGGGUAGCAAACAGG